GCCCGCCCGCCGCCUCCCUAUCCGGCGCGGCGCUCGGCGUGCAGGGGAGGCUCCUGCGGUCGCCGUACGCGGCGCGCGAGGUUGGGCAGCUCGGCGAGGCCGCGGCGCCUGCGUCCUCCCGGCGGUGAGUCUGUGGGGCCCGGCCAGGGUCGCCCACGUAACCUGCGGGGACCCGACCGGCGGGCCGCCUGGGCCGCAGUGCGCGCGGACGGGGAGGGAGGGGACAGCGAGAGGAGCGCACGCGGAGGCGCCGGGGGUCGGAGGAAGCUGGGAGUCGGGGGCUGCCGGCGGGCCUUCCGCAGGGUGAGCCCUUCCUCCCAUCUCCCAGCCCUCCCCGCAUGUUUCCGAAUAUCUGGGCAGAGCCGGCGAAGACCGCUGCCCGGCCCUCUUCCAGUGGACGCGGGGCCCAUCACCCAACUCCAGGCAGCCGGACUUCCCGCGUGGGGUCUGGGGAGGGACAGCCUGCCAGACUGGAGGAGGAAGCCGGGAACCUGGGGAGAGCCCCUGGCGGGAGGGGGAGAAUUAACUACCUGGGGGGUUGAUUACCUGGGGGCUGGAACCCGCCCUAGGGAGGGGGAGCGGAUGGCUUUGUUUUGACCUAGAUUAUGCAUGCGAAGGAGGUGCCUCCUGAGGUGGGCCACCUGGUCCCUGGAGGCCUGGACUGACUACCACUAGAUUCCUGGCUUUUCCAGAGACAGGGGAGCUGGGCCUGGGUCCCAGGGGCACUGCUCCCUGGGCCUGUUGGCUCCCUUUGGCUGCCUUUCCUUUGCCCAUUCAGAAACAUAGGUGUUCCCGGUCUCCACCCCAGUGGAUGCCUUUACUCAUCCCUGCAGGGCCUGCUUGGUCAGGUGCCCCCAGUGGGUGGGUGGGGAUGCCUGCUGGACCUGUUUGUCCCUGUGCAUGCCAGAGCUUCCUUGGAGACAGCUCAGGAUUCCUCCAUACCACAGCCUCACUUUAUGGAGGAAGAGCUUCUUCCUGCCUGGGCUGCCUGGUGGCAGGAACAGACGCGGCUGAGCUUGGCACUAACAUUGGCCAUCUGGGACUCCUGUUCCAGACUCUUAAGAUGUCAGUAGAGGUUCAAGCUGGAUGGGAGAGGCCUGGGGCCCAUUUGCACAAACCCGGCCUGCAGCUUUCCCUUCCAGAGUCUCCUGCGAAGACCUGCACCCCUUUAUCCCAGGGCCUCUGGGCCGCCUCUCCCCCACCAGGGCUGGUCUGAGUACCAGACUCCUUCUGCAAUUCUCCAGAGAAUCAAAACCCAGUUCCUUCUCCACCCAGUGCCACUGACCCCUGCCCAAGAGAGGACUCGUGGUGCAGGACAGCAGCCCAAAGGAGCCCCCCUGCUCUGCCCUAGCCACACUGUGCCUGUCCUGCUGUGUGUCAGCCUGGCCACAGGUGGCCACCUCACUGAGCCCUUCCCAGCCCCAGGUCUACCCUCAGGGGAGUGCAGACUCAAGGACCCAGCUGACCCUAGGAAAGCAGGGUGCUGAUUAGCUUGUAUCCUUAACCAACAUUUCCCCACCUCAGCGCGGGCAGCGAGGCCACUCCCUGGGCCUCUGUUUCUGUGGGAUUCCAAAAAUCUUGAUGGUAUCCUUCACCUGGGCUGCCCUCUAACACGGUGCAUCUCUCCCAGCAAGACAGGUGUCUUUGGCUUUGAGUUCCUGUGGACGGCCAUCUGUCCCCUCCAGCAUGAGGGUCUUCUUGCCGGUGCUGUUGGCUGCCCUUCUGGGUCUGGAGCCAGGUGCGAUGCCCUGGGCCCCGGACCUUCUCACAGACCAUGCCCUCCCCCGGCUCCCUCUCCCCGACCCCUGGGCGGUCAUUCAGUGGUCCUCCCAGGACAGCCUCUGUGGGACCUUCUGACUCCUCUUCCCCAGUGAAGCGAGGCACUUCUGCCUCCAGUGUUAGGGAAGCCUCAACACUGGCCAGGCCACACUGUUGUCACCCGUGUUUGGGGGUCACUUGAGCUCACCAGGGCCAGGGUCUGGUGUUAUUUGUCAUUGUCUUGUCUUGGUACCCAGCCCAGAGCCUGGUGUGUAAUUGUUGCUCAGUAAAUGCCCACAGCUGGUUAAGUACAGAGGGCAGGCCUGGGAGGCACACUGGAGGCCGCCUCCCGCAGGAGGCAGGUGUCACCCAGUGUCCCUCCUUCUGCAGUGCACUCUCUGGUGUGCUUCUCCUGCGUCAACCAGAACAGCAAUCUCUACUGUCUGAAGCCCACCGUCUGCUCCUCUUCUGACAACUACUGUGUGACUAUAUCUGCCUCUGCUGGCAUUGGUGAGUGCUGGCCAGGAGCACCUCAGCCUCGCCCACCCGACCCCUUGGCUGUCUCCCAUGGCCAGUGCGACCCCUCACAGUCUGGUUUUCCUGCAGGGAAUGUCGUGGACUUUGGACACACCCUGAACAAGGGCUGCUCCCCCAUCUGCCCUGGUCCUAGCGUCAAUCUCGGCGUGGCGUCUGUGGGCACCCACUGCUGCCAGAGCUUCCUGUGCAAUUUCAGUGCCGCCGGCCGGGGACCGCGGGCCAGCACCGCACUGCUCGGCCUCGGGCUCCUGCUCAGCUUGCUCUCUGUUCUGCUGAGACUGGGCCCCUGACCUUCUGGACCUGAGUCCCCCAUGUCCCCCAGCUCAGGAAGAAAAGCCCCAUCCCUCGCAGAUCCCAGGAGGCUAUUGGAGCCUCCAGCUCCUUGGCGUGCCUGAUCCCCCCACCUUGGGCCAGAACCACCCCCUGCACCUACCCCUGCACAGCCCCUACCCCAUGUGGGGCCAGCCGCCCUCACUUCUGCAACCAAUUGUGUGACCUUUCUCAAGGAACCAGGACGGGAUGAGGGUUCCCCUGAAGUCUUAGGGUCCCCAAGGGCAGGACUGAGCCUUGUGGACACCAGAGGGACAUUUAAGCCAUCAGCCCUAGGCGCACUGAGUGUGGGGUGGUGGCAGACACCAGCGUUUUGUGAAUGUUUAGGUGCGAGUCCCUGGGAUGGUGUUGUGAGAGGGACAGGAGAGUCCCGGGCAGCAGCAGCCCCCGGAACCCUGAUUCACCAGACCCCCCCAUCUGCACCCACAUUGCACUCACUUCAGGGGUAGCCUUUAGGGGCGGGGGGCUCCCAGUGCUUCCAGGCAUGGGCUCCCAGCCCAGGUCCUGCUGAGCCCUGCCUGGCCCUCCUUGCUCCUGCACUGGCACCCCGCUGCUGCCUCAGUGCCUCAAUAAAACGUUGCCACCCCUCUUGACUACGGUAGUUGCCUCUCCAGCCGGCCUCUGAGUCCACCUCCCAGAGGCCCUCCUGGAAGCAGGAGCUGAGGUCCUCUGGUGUAGUCCUAGAUGGAGGCCCCAUGGGGCAGUAGAGGAGGAGGUCUCCAGGCCUGUGACCAGUGACCACUGCCAUGCCCUUUACCCUGCCCUGGAGUGAGGUCCAUUGAGUGGGUCUGCAUCCACAAGGCCAGGGGGAGGCCUGGGCAGCAGCCUGGGUUGAGGAGCUCUGAGAGUGGGGCCGCAGUCCCCAGGGCCUAUGGAGGAGCAGGAGACCCCACAGAAGGUGGGUCAGGCUGGUGCCCCCAGGAAGCAUGACCCCUGGCCAUGGCCUGUGCUAGGCUGAGCUCCUGGCUUAGGGCUAGUGAGGCGGCAGAGUUGCCUGUCAUCUUAGACAUGUCCCAAGUCUCCUGGACAGUGGCAGGGUCUCCUAGCCCUGCUUGUGCCCAGGUCCUAGGGGCCCAACAGGGUAUGGCGGUCUCCAUGAGCACACACAGCAGGCUCUGAAACCUGUGAAUGUAGUGUCCCUUGCUCCAAGUCCAGGGCCUCCACCCAGUGCCCUGAAGGCCUGGGGGGGAGGCUGCCUAGAGCACAGCCCUGCCCCGUGAGCGCCGACGAUGCUCUGG
This 3863-nucleotide long non-coding RNA is filed under the name Marmota monax (woodchuck). The record is from RNAcentral. Lineage: Eukaryota; Metazoa; Chordata; Mammalia; Rodentia; Sciuridae.